UACGUAGGGGGCGAGCGUUGUCCGGAUUUACUGGGUGUAAAGGGUGCUCAGGCGGGUCUGUAAGUCAGGGGUGAAAUCCCAGAGCUUAACUCUGGAACUGCCUUUGAUACUGCAGAUCUCGAGUUUGGGAGAGGCGAGUGGAAUAUCUGGUGUAGCAGUGAAAUGCGUAGAGAUCAGAGAGAACACCAAUGGCGAAGGCAGCUCGCUGGCCCAAUACUGACGCUAAAGCACGAAAGAGUGGGGAGCAAACAGG
RNAcentral lists this ribosomal RNA (253 nucleotides) under uncultured bacterium. Its description in RNAcentral is "partial 16S ribosomal RNA". It matches the Rfam family "Bacterial small subunit ribosomal RNA", at positions 524 to 776 of the family's 1533-position model. The record is from RNAcentral.